UGCAUCUGCCGGGAAUCGAACCCGGGCCGCCCGCGUGGCAGGCGAGCAUUCUAUCACUGAACCACC
This 66-nucleotide transfer RNA is filed under the name Cordylochernes scorpioides. Its description in RNAcentral is "tRNA-Gly". Lineage: Eukaryota; Metazoa; Arthropoda; Arachnida; Pseudoscorpiones; Chernetidae. The record is from RNAcentral.